This 681-nucleotide ribosomal RNA is filed under the name Lysobacter sp. RNAcentral's name for it is "bacterial SSU rRNA". It matches the Rfam family "Bacterial small subunit ribosomal RNA", at positions 104 to 781 of the family's 1533-position model. The record is from RNAcentral. Lineage: Bacteria; Pseudomonadati; Pseudomonadota; Gammaproteobacteria; Lysobacterales; Lysobacteraceae.
GGGUGAGGAAUACAUCGGAAUCUGCCUUAUCGUGGGGGAUAACGUAGGGAAACUUACGCUAAUACCGCAUACGACCUACGGGUGAAAGCGGGGGAUCGCAAGACCUCGCGCGAUAAGAUGAGCCGAUGUCGGAUUAGCUAGUUGGCGGGGUAAAGGCCCACCAAGGCGACGAUCCGUAGCUGGUCUGAGAGGAUGAUCAGCCACACUGGAACUGAGACACGGUCCAGACUCCUACGGGAGGCAGCAGUGGGGAAUAUUGGACAAUGGGCGCAAGCCUGAUCCAGCCAUGCCGCGUGGGUGAAGAAGGCCUUCGGGUUGUAAAGCCCUUUUGUCCGGAAAGAAAAGCACUGGAUUAAUACUUCGGUGUUCUGACGGUACCGGAAGAAUAAGCACCGGCUAACUUCGUGCCAGCAGCCGCGGUAAUACGAAGGGUGCAAGCGUUACUCGGAAUUACUGGGCGUAAAGCGUGCGUAGGUGGUUCGUUAAGUCUGAUGUGAAAGCCCUGGGCUCAACCUGGGAAUUGCACUGGAUACUGGCGGGCUAGAGUGCGGUAGAGGAUGGCGGAAUUCCCGGUGUAGCAGUGAAAUGCGUAGAGAUCGGGAGGAACAUCUGUGGCGAAGGCGGCCAUCUGGACCAGCACUGACACUGAGGCACGAAAGCGUGGGGAGCAAACAGGAUAAA